GAUGAAGAACGUAUCGAAAUGCGAUACGUAAUGUGAAUUGCAAAUUCAGUGAAUCAUCGAGUCUUUGAACGCACAUUGCGCCCCCUGGUAUUCCGGGGGGCAUGCCUGUCCGAGCGUCAUUGCUGCCCUCAAGCACGGCUUGUGUGUUGGGCCCCGUCCUCCGAUCCCGGGGGACGGGCCCGAAAGGCAGCGGCGGCACCGCGUCCGGUCCUCGAGCGUAUGGGGCUUUGUCACCCGCUCUGUAGGCCCGGCCGGCGCUUGCCGAUCAACCCAAAUUUUUUAUCCAGGUUGACCUCGGAUCAGGUAGGGAUACCCGCUGAACUUAAGCAUAUCAAUAAGCGGAGGA
This 346-nucleotide unclassified non-coding RNA is filed under the name soil metagenome. RNAcentral's name for it is "partial contains 5.8S ribosomal RNA, internal transcribed spacer 2, and large subunit ribosomal RNA". The stretch from base 1 to 119 matches the Rfam family "5.8S ribosomal RNA", at positions 35 to 154 of the family's 154-position model. The record is from RNAcentral.